GGAGUGGCAAAGUACUGGCCACUUCCAGAUCUCCUGGUCCAGACACGCCACUUUGCCAGAUGGUAUGCAGCCGCUGCAGGGAGCCGAGCACACACUCCACCUCAGCACCGCAUCACACACAGCCUGGUCAUAAUAUCUGGGAGGAGGACAGCAGCACUUCGGAGGAUCCAAAAUCCCGCGGCAGAUGAGAGAUUGAUACAGACUUCCCACCCACUGCUUCGGCACAAGGCGGAGACUGAAAAGACGGCGGAGUCUGAAAAGACGGCGAACACGCAGCAUCUCUUCCACCCAGCGCCGGAUACCCGGGGCCCACGCGGGGACGCUCGCCGUGUCCGGCUCAGCCCGUGGGCAGCCCCCGGGGGCCGCGGUGGAGACGCUCCGCGCCGCCUCUGGUGCCCACCCCUCCGCUCCGCCCGGCGCGCAAGUUGCGCGGAGCCGCAGCCGCCACCGCCGCCACCUCCCUGCGGGAGCAAAGCCGGCGGAGUUUGCCCGGCCGGCGGGUGCCUCCCCUUCCUUCCCCUCCUAGCGGGUUUUAUUUUUUUCUCUUAUCUUUUUUUUUUUUUAAUUUUCCUUUUUUUUUUUUUGGAGGGGGAGCCGUGGCUGCUGCUUUGCGCUCCGCAGCGUGGACGCGUACAGACCGGUCCUCGGGGAAACAGCUCCCGGCGCUCCCACAAAAACUCCAACCCAAACAAAACACCCACUUGGAUAAUUAAAACGCCAACUCUCACUCCUCUCAAGGACUGUACUGUGGGACAUAUUAUGAAAUUACCUGAAGACUGACAGUUGCCGGUGGCAAAAAAAAGGCCCCUGAUGUUUUGGAAAUGAUGAAAUGUGUAUUUCCUUUCAUCUAGACCAGGGUGGUCGUGUGUGUGUUUUUUCUAUUAACAUUGUGGGAUUUUUUUGUUUUUGAGGGUGCUUUUUUAGUCAAUGUUUAUGUUUAGAAUAAGGAACUACUUUCUAUUAUGAGUGAGGAUCUAUGGGUAUGCCUACACUGUCACUUCCUUCACUUGUUCUCAAGUCUAUUCCUCCUGAUCAUCCAAACUGCAUCAAUGCUAGUUUGUUCCUGCACGUGGCUUUGGAGCAAAAUCAGCAGUGUCCUCCAAGAAAAUAGUCAGGUGUGGAUCUGGAAGUGAUCUGCUGAGGAGACCAUUUCAAAUAAGUAAAAUAGCUGAGACCAUACCCAGAUCUUUCUGCCCUACACUGUUUUCUCUAGUCUACUCUUCUCUGUCCUCUAGGGCUCACAAUCCCCCAUGCCAAAUCCACGGACAAUGCAACCUAUCUCCCCCUUGGAAUUAUGUUAUUAUAUCUACCAUUUGGGGGGGGUAAUUCCUCACACAAAUUCAGCUAUUUUGAACCAUAAAACCUCUAAAAUAGCAAUAACAUCACACCUGUUUUAGGUGUGAUGCAGUGUGGGCACAGCUGCCCCCACUGCUCUAAAUGGAGAUUAAUGUGUGGGCACAGGCCACACUCCCUCUUGAGCUGGGGAGCAGGGAUCCCUCAGCAGUACAGACAUCUUUUCCUGUUUAGGUAUGCUUGGUUCAGGCUUAAAUUUUCUGAUCACAUUUCAAAUUUCUACACUGACCUACAGAUACUAAGCUUUCUCCUGAGGAAACUGGAUAAGGCUCUUUUCACUAGGACAAGCCAGUUACUCCAAGACUGAUGACAAAGAAGCAAGAUGAGCAGACUAAGGUGCCUCUGUUAGAUUUAGGCACAAAAGUCAGUGGUAUUUUGAACCUUCUCUAAAGGUAGAUUUCUCCUAAAAAGACCUAUUUUGGGAUAUAAUUAUUAAGGAAAGACAAGUAAAGAAGGCUUAAGACUAGUCUGCCUCUGGCUGCAGCUGCCGUUAUGUAGUGGGCUCUCCAGAUCCCUAAGUAAAAGCAAAGAAUGGGAGCUUUCCUAAAGUGGAAGCUUUUUCUGGAAAAUGAAUUGUGCUCUUCAGUAAAGCAGUUACACAGUCCCUAGUGAACAACAGCCUGAGCUGUCUGUACACGAUAUUGUGACAGAAUUUGACAUUCGUUGUGGAAUUCUCAAUCCUUUGUAGCUACCUAAAAACUAAAUGUCUCAUCUUCACUUACUUAUGUGAUCUUUAAUCAGUGGCUCUGUGUGUAUAUUUCGUUUAAGAUGACCUAUUAAGCUGUCAUCCACCGUAGCUGUUUGACCUAUAACAGAUAACACCAUCAGGAGAAACAAAUGCUAAAAUGGAAACCAGCUUUACUUGCUAGUUAACAUUUCUAAAGGUUGCGGAGUGGCAAACACAAACUCACACAGAGUGCACAUUGACCAUGAUGGCACUCCUUAAUGAUCUCUUUUUAGUGCACUUUUGUUUCAUUUCCCUACUCUCAUCUAACAAGUUUCCCGUUCUUUAGCUUCAUCCUUGAUCUUGUACUGAAACUAUUUACUGGCUCUACUGGCAGCUUCCUAGGCUAAAGUUACACAUCUCUUGUUAUUUAUAACUAUAUCUAAGAAACAAGCAGAUCAGAUUUUAAAGAAGGCUCCAGGAAGAGCUCAUUGCGGCCUUCCAGACCUUGAAGAGAGCUUAUAAGAAGAAGGGAGAGCGACAUUUUACAUGGUCUGAAAGUGAUAGGACAAGGGGGAAUGUCUUCAAACUAAAAGAGAGGAGAUUUAGGUUAGAUGUUAAGAAGAAAUUCUUUACUCAGAGGGCAGUGAGGCACUGGCACAGGCUGCCUGGAGAAGCUGUGGAUGCCCCAUCCCUGGAGGUAUUCAAGGCCGAGUUGGAUGGGGCCCUGGGCAGCCUGAGCUGGUGGGGGGCAGCCCUGCCCACGGCAGGAGGUUGGGAAUGAAUGAUCCUUAAGGUCCCUUCCAAUCCAAGUUGCUCUAUGAUUCUGUGAUCAUGUUUAGUCAUUUUAGUCACUUCAAAGUACUGAAUCACUACAGCAGAACAAAAGCAAAAACAGGGUGCAUAGAUAGACUGAAACUUCAUCUGGUUUUAAUAUAAAAGUACCAGAAAAAUAUGAAUGAGGAAAACCAGGUAUUAGACAGUAAUAUUCACUGUUUUGGUUUUUUUCAAAGACAUUAUCCUUCCAAAUCAGUUGCUGUCUCAAUGGAGCAUAUCACUAGUUACCUGAGAGAUUUCUGUCUAUAGCAUAAUGUUUAAUUUCAGAAAAACAGUCAUUAAUUUCUAAUUUUAAGUUAGGGGAAAAAAGUUAGGAAAAAACAUAUCAAUCAUUAAUGACAACUAGCUGAAAUUCUGAAUGUAGCAAUAACUCAUUCUUUAAAAACAGAAGAGGAAAAUACAUCUUGCAGAUUUUCAGGGCUAUAUAGCACAACAUCCUGCUGUGAGCAGUACUUCUGAAUCUUUAAACACAAUUUCUUCCUUGGGUACUGGUGGGGAAGGGGGAGAAAGCAGAAGGAAACAGUUAGGUUGUGAAGUCAAAGAAGGUAAGAAAGAAGAGUCGGAGAAGCUGUCACUCACACAAGCAACACUCAAACCCAGUUAACUAGGUAACAGAAUUUUGCUGAGGUACAAAAUACAAAAUGUGCAAUGACUCUUAAAAAUUGAAAAAUAAAGAUCUUAACUAAGGGAUGCUAAACUGAAGA
RNAcentral lists this long non-coding RNA (3558 nucleotides) under Numida meleagris (helmeted guineafowl). RNAcentral's name for it is "lncRNA (ENSNMEG00000010477.1)". The record is from RNAcentral. Lineage: Eukaryota; Metazoa; Chordata; Aves; Galliformes; Numididae.